CUGCAGCCCGAGUGGUGGUCGAUUUUAUUGAGCCUAAAGCGUCCGUAGCCGGACUAGUAAACCCUUGGGUAAAUUGGGCAGCUUAACUGUCCAAAUUCCGAGGGGACUGCUAGUCUUGGGACCGGGAGAGGUCAGAGGUACUCAAGGGGUAGGGGCUAAAUCCUGUAAUCCUUUGGGGACCACCAGUGGCGAAGGCGUCUGACUAGAACGGAUCCGACGGUAAGGGACGAAACCCUGGGGCGCGGACCGGAUUAGAUACCCGAGUAGUCC
This 270-nucleotide ribosomal RNA is filed under the name uncultured archaeon. RNAcentral's name for it is "partial 16S ribosomal RNA". It matches the Rfam family "Archaeal small subunit ribosomal RNA", at positions 477 to 747 of the family's 1478-position model. The record is from RNAcentral.